This 1004-nucleotide ribosomal RNA is filed under the name uncultured bacterium. RNAcentral describes it as "bacterial SSU rRNA". It matches the Rfam family "Bacterial small subunit ribosomal RNA", at positions 355 to 1375 of the family's 1533-position model. The record is from RNAcentral.
UGGGGAAUAUUGGGCAAUGGACGCAAGUCUGACCCAGCAACGCCGCGUGAAGGAAGAAGGCUUUCGGGUUGUAAACUUCUUUUGUCAGGGAAGAGCAGAAGACGGUACCUGACGAAUAAGCCACGGCUAACUACGUGCCAGCAGCCGCGGUAAUACGUAGGUGGCAAGCGUUGUCCGGAUUUACUGGGUGUAAAGGGCGUGUAGCCGGGGAGACAAGUCAGAUGUGAAAUCUGGAGGCUCAACCUCCAAACUGCAUUUGAAACUGUUUCUCUUGAGUAUCGGAGAGGUAAUCGGAAUUCCUAGUGUAGCGGUGAAAUGCGUAGAUAUUAGGAAGAACACCAGUGGCGAAGGCGGAUUACUGGGCACCAACUGACGCUGAGGCUCGAAAGCAUGGGUAGCAAACAGGAUUAGAUACCCUGGUAGUCCAUGCCGUAAACGAUGAUUACUAGGUGUUGGAGGAUUGACCCCUUCAGUGCCGCAGUUAACACAAUAAGUAAUCCACCUGGGGAGUACGACCGCAAGGUUGAAACUCAAAGGAAUUGACGGGGGCCCGCACAAGCAGUGGAGUAUGUGGUUUAAUUCGAAGCAACGCGAAGAACCUUACCAAGUCUUGACAUCCUUCUGACCGGUACUUAACCGUACCUUCUCUUCGGAGCAGGAGUGACAGGUGGUGCAUGGUUGUCGUCAGCUCGUGUCGUGAGAUGUUGGGUUAAGUCCCGCAACGAGCGCAACCCUUAUCUUUAGUAGCCAGCGGUCCGGCCGGGCACUCUAGAGAGACUGCCAGGGAUAACCUGGAGGAAGGCGGGGAUGACGUCAAAUCAUCAUGCCCCUUAUGACUUGGGCUACACACGUGCUACAAUGGCGUAAACAAAGGGAAGCAAGACCGCGAGGUGGAGCAAAACUCAAAAACAACGUCUCAGUUCAGAUUGCAGGCUGCAACUCGCCUGCAUGAAGUCGGAAUUGCUAGUAAUCGCGGAUCAGCAUGCCGCGGUGAAUACGUUCCC